RNAcentral lists this ribosomal RNA (484 nucleotides) under uncultured bacterium. Its description in RNAcentral is "partial 16S ribosomal RNA". It matches the Rfam family "Bacterial small subunit ribosomal RNA", at positions 30 to 507 of the family's 1533-position model. The record is from RNAcentral.
AUUGAACGCUGGCGGCAGGCCUAACACAUGCAAGUCGAGCGGAUGAAGGGAGCUUGCUCCUGGAUUCAGCGGCGGACGGGUGAGUAAUGCCUAGGAAUCUGCCUGGUAGUGGGGGAUAACGUCCGGAAACGGGCGCUAAUACCGCAUACGUCCUGAGGGAGAAAGUGGGGGAUCUUCGGACCUCACGCUAUCAGAUGAGCCUAGGUCGGAUUAGCUAGUUGGUGGGGUAAAGGCCUACCAAGGCGACGAUCCGUAACUGGUCUGAGAGGAUGAUCAGUCACACUGGAACUGAGACAGGGUCCAGACUCCUACGGGAGGCAGUAGUGGGGAAUAUUGGACAAUGGGCGAAAGCCUGAUCCAGCCAUGCCGCGUGUGUGAAGAAGGUCUUCGGAUUGUAAAGCACUUUAAGUUGGGAGGAAGGGCAGUAAGUUAAUACCUUGCUGUUUUGACGUUACCAACAGAAUAAGCACCGGCUAACUUCGUG